AAGAUCAGGUUGCUCAGAGCCCUGUUCAGCCUGAUCUUGAAUGUUUCCAGGGAAGAGGCAUCUACCACCUCUCUGAUGGCACCACCUAUGCCGAAGAUCUCUUACUCAUAUCUAGUCUAAAUCUACCCCCUUUUAGUUUAAAAACAGUACCUCGUCUUAUCGCAACAGGUCCUACCAAAAAAGUUUGUCCCCAUCUUUCUCAUAAGCCCUCCUUAAGUAUCAAAAGGCCAUAAUAAGGUUUCCCUGGAGCCUUUUCUUCUCCAGACUGAACAACACCAGUUCUCUCAGCCUAUCUUCACAGGGCAGGUACUCCAUUCCUCUCAUCAUUUUUGUGGCCUUCCUCUGGACCCACUCCAACAGGUCGAACAGGUACUUGCAAAGGGCUUGUAAGAUAAUGUCAUCAAAGGACUUGUUUUUAGGAGAAAUACCUGAAAGCUUUCUUUCCAUAUAGGUACCCAAAGAGGCCUGCAGACUGGAAAGUGCCAGCUCAGUGGGGCACAGGCAGUACUGGUUCUGUACCACAAUGAACACCUAAGGAAGAAGGUGAAGAGGCAGCAGUUGGAAGUGCUGAUGGAAUCAGAAGGCUGUUUGCCACAGCUGUCUUGAAGAGGCUUGGGUUGGUCUGUUACAGAUAUUAUCCUCCCAUGAUAAACUAUACCAAGUGUUCUAGAAAAAAAAUUAACUGUCUGGUAAAAAUGAUGUGGUGAAAUCACAACCAUUAAAUAAGAAAAUUAAAAGUCAUUAAAAAAAAAAAAAAACAACAGAACCAGAACAGUCUAGAACAAAGCAUGUAAUCUGUAAAACCUUGUCUAAAAGUAUUCCUGCCCACAUAGUACAUUAAAAUGCAUUAUUGAUGAUAAUAUGCUAAUACAGAUGGAUACAGAACAUGCUGUGUUUCUUGAGCUAUUCAGUCAGGGCCCUUGUGACCAAGACAGAUUCUAAGCAGACUGUGAGGGGCUGCUGAGGUCUGUUUUUUCAGGCUGCCUUGGGACCCAGUUCAUAUCUAGUUACCCUCUUAGAACACGGUAUCUCCUUAGCAUCACUGUGAGAUCUCCUAUGCCUGUCCACUUACCUCUCCAAAGUGGGUGCUGGUUAGGGUUUAAUUAUAUGGGUCUUUGGUAUGUAGUUGUAGGGCAAGCGAGACUGGCUGGUCAGUCAUACAGCAUCUUCUCCACUGUAGUAUUAGCAUAUGCUUAUGUGGUCAGACACCAGGGAAUUCCUGAGAAGCCAUGCAUGUCCAAAACUGCAGUGAUGACACUGUGGAGCUCCCAGAGUGACGGGUGCAGCCGUUGCUCAGCACCUUGUUAUGCUCUGACUAUUCUCAUCAGACACUGCAAACUAUUUUUGCUUUAGAUAAAUGAGCUCUAGGUAAAGCAAAUACAAGACUCCUUGAACAUCAUGGACUUGGAGGCCAUGGCACUUAGGGACAUGGUUUAGCGGUGGACUUGGUAGUGUUAGGUUAAUUUUUAGGUUUGAUGAACUUAAGGGUUCUUCCCAACCUAAAAAUGAUUCUAUGAUUCUAUGAAAAGUAGAGGUAAGACAAACCUAGAACAAAGAACAAAAAAUGUGGGUUUCUGCUAUCUUUUAACUGUCCCCUCAUACUAAGCAGAAUCUUUACUCAUUCUCAACAUCUUUUAAAAUGUUCUAGGACCUAAGCUAUUUAAAAAUACAUGAUUUUUUUCCCCAUUGUUUUUGUGUAGCAAACCUUAGAUGCUGAGGUAGAGGCAUUAAACCACUUAGAAUAUGUCUCACCAUCAAUUAAACAUGGGUCCAAGUCUGUUGUCUCAGCCAGUAAUAUGCAUUUUAAAAGUAAACCCUUAAGCCCACUAAGUGGUUGCCUCAGGACGGCCUGAACAUAAUCAGCACCAGGUUCUCAUUAAUUUGUCGUGGAUAAUUUAGGCAUGAGCAGGACUUUGUACACUACAGUGUUGUCUUUCAGCAGUUCAUGCUGAGAACAGUGUAGGCAGUUCAAAAUACAGCAGCCUACAAAUAAUAGCAUUGCAGAUGGAAAGCGCACCAGUCAGGGCUCAACUAGCUCUCAAACAUGCACUUCACUGUAUGGCACACGUGUAAGGUUUGUGACUCUACUCUCUCUCUCUACCAUUCCCAGAAACAAAAAAUUCCCAGCGGAGCAUCACCUGCAGCUUAGAAUAAAAUUGUAUUUCGAUGCAAUUAUAAAAAAAUGAGGUUAUGUAUUCAGAGUGUAGAGAGUUACUGCCACAAGUCAGCUUGCUAGUACAUAUUCAUACGGACAUGAGGGUAUAUGAAGCUAAACUGGCUUGCCAAGUUCAGGUGUUCGUUGGCCCUCAUUCCAGUGUAUGUUCUGUCGAGGUUAAACUUUAUUCUGUGUUCAAGGGUUUAAGAACUGCUAUUUAAGAACACAUAAUUCACAAUUUCUCUUACUGUAUUAAGACAAACUAAGGAUGUUUUAGUGGUCAGUGAGUUCACCCUGAAGAGAAUCUCUGAGAUCCUGUAAGUCUACGAGCACACAAGUAAUUUUUUAUUCUUCUGCUAUUACAGCUAUAUUGUGGGAGACUAUCUCACAACAUGUUUGUAUUUUAGUGCUGGCAAAUUGCAUAUUAAAUAAAAUAUGCAAUUUUCAUAUUUUCACCAGACUAUGCCAAUGUUUCUAAAUUUCUGUAUUAUAUAUUUCCUAUCUAAUUUCUGGAUUCUUAUAGAAUUAAUAUUCAUUAGAACAUUAGACUUAUUCUUUUGUGUAUGCUCUCAGCAUGUAUAAUGGAAGGAGAAAUAUUCCUGUUUUCCUGUCUCAUACAGCAGAAGCAAUCCUGAUGGAAUCCAUGGAGUAGCAUUAAUAUAAAAUUAAUCUUAGGGAAAAAGCCUAAUGCUGGCUGAUUCUUUUAGCUGAUGGCACACCCUCCUUUAUAUACUCAAGAAAAAAGUGAACCUUUUGAACAAGAAAAGCAGGAAAUUACUUAUGUGUCCUUAGCCCUUCUUCUUCUGUGGACACUUCCCACCAUGUUGUGAAGCUCCUGUGUUUCUGCAGCUACACAAACAAAGGAAGAUGUGAUAAUUGCAGAGACAUAAAUUAAAACUACUGUCUCUCAUGUCACUUGAAUGUUAAUCUUUCCUAAAAAGGUCCUAUAAAACAACUGUUACUGCAAGUUUAGUACACGAAUGAUAUUUAGGAUUUCUACCAAACUCUUUCAGAGAGAAACCACGAACUUGUUAAACCUUCUGUCAUUUCUGAAUUCAUUUCCUGUUCUAACCACCUUGAAAAUCAAUAUGUGGAAGGUCAGGGUAAUCUUUCUUGCACUCAUUGUGUGGGCUACUCAGUUUCAGAACCAGCUGUUCAUGCAUGGGGCUAGUCCCAGCAGUUGAAACCCUGGUAACAUUUGCUCAUCCAAUUCCACAUGUGAAAAAAAAGAGACUUAGCUUUAAAGGUUUUACUGGAGUCAGCUACUCUCCACAGCAGUGUUUCAUGGAAGCUGGGAUUUAAUUCUGUCAGGUGCUGAGAGGUUUUAGCUCCCCUGAGUCAAUGGGCCCAGUAUCUCACAGGGUGUCUGAGAAAUGACACACCUCACUCAAUUGUGAUAAGCUCAUUAAAAUCACUGCUCUACGAAAGCACAAAACUGAGACAUAGUUAAAAGAGGUCAGAGGAACUCAGAAUCCUGAAAGAACUCCAACCAAGUUCUUUUCCUCACCCAGGCUUUCUCUGGGCAGAAUUUAUUGAUAAUAACAGAAAAAUGAAUCAUUAAGUCCCACAGCCCGAGUGUUAUAUUAUUAACUAAUAUAACUGUCAGGAUUUUUAUGGGAACUUUUGAGUUAAACCAUGAGCCACUUGCUGAAAAGCAAAUUUAAGGCUAUAUGCUGGGAAAGAACUUUCUCAUUAAAAUAUAAUCAAGGUUUGUUAGGCAACAAGAAAAGAACCAACCUGAUGCGCUGAAUUAAACUGAGUGGGAACUAAAGAUAUCAGAUAGCUGUGAAGAGUUCUUCAGCUCCCCAUUUUACAAGGUGCAAGCCUUACAUGGAUUUACCAUGGGAAAAACAGACUAAAUCUCUUGAGUGCACAAAAUAAGAAGAGCCCCUGACCAUGUUUUCUAAGGAUAGUAGGGGCAACAUACACAGUACUUUUUCUUCUGUAAUGACCCUCCUUACCCUUCUCCGUUUAUCUCUGUGAAAAGGGUUUUAAGUGAGCAUAGUCUGACUGCUAGUUGAGUAACAAGAAGGGAUGUGCAGGCAUGUAUUUAUAGUGGGGAGGGAAAGUUAAGAGUGAUCUUCUUGAUACCCCGUUCAAUAACUAACUUGCUUCUGGUCCUUUCGUGUGGAAGUACCCUAAGCUGCCCAGCCUCUCAUUUACCCUGCUGUGUGAAUGCUUGGUGGAUGUGUCUGUUCAGGUGUGAAGAGUGGAAGAAGAAAAAUAGAAAAUACAUGAUGUGAAAAUGAAACAGAGGCUUUAAUUUACUAUCAUCAUUUGUAAUCUCCUUCCAAAAGAAUAAAUGUGCACAUUAACACACAAACAGUUCACAAUAGAUUCAGAAAAUUGAAACUUAAAAUCACUGUAUAAUUUGGAAAAUUAAAUAAAUAAAGGAAAAUUCCUGCAGAUGUUCUACAAAUAGAGAAAAAGAGAAAGCAGGCCCAAGGGAUAUUUCAGUAUGUUUGCUACUUUAUUAGUAAAAUUAAUACCAGUGGUUUCAAAAAGACCACUCACACACAGUUCCUCUUGAUUAGAAUCUGGGCUUUAAAUUAUACAACAAAUCUUUUGCUUAGCUGAAAUUUUAAUUUUGAUUUGCAGAAGGGUAGGGAUUGCUACCUACAGGUAAUUCUCUAUAAACAGAUUUAGUUGUGUGUGAAAUGGGUAACAUUGAACAUGUGGGGCUAGGCUUAAUAAGUGCCUAGUCCAUAAAAGGAAAUCACGUGUGGCAGAAAAUAUAGGUGCCAAUGCCCAUUCCUGUGCUUGGAAAAGUGUGAUGUGGUGUCAAAGCAGAUAGACAGAAACUACAGGUGACACAAAUACUGCGGAUAUUUCUCCUUGCACGAGCUGGCCAGUUCAAGAAUAUCUUUUGAAGAUGCCAUCUGUAUAUUCUUUAGAGAAAAAAAGUCACUGUCAUCACAGAGUCCCCUUCUGUACAAUAAACUAAUGGCAAAAGCACUCAUUUGGCAAAGUUCAGUACAUUGGACCUUAAGUCUCUGAAGGUGUGUAACAAACUACAAGCUGCUGAAUCUGGAAACAGGAGUUCAUUACUCACUGGGCCAAAGAGACGAAAUGUUACAGAAGAGAAGUGCUAAAGAAAAAGAAGACUACUGCUGUGAGGUUAGACUUUAAAAGUGUUUUUUAAAUGUUACAGAAAGCAGGGUAAUAUUCUGUCUCCCCAGUCAUGCAAUAUGCAAAGUUUUUGUGAGCAUUUUGAGUUCAGGUGAGCAUUUUCAAAAAGGGUUUAACUUCAGUUUAUAAAGGCUAAUGAUCUAUUUCUGUAAACAGAAAAUGCACUGAAAAAUGGGCAGUAAAAACCCAAGAGGCAAGAAAGGACGAAAGUACAGGGUAAGAAAGAUAACAUGAAAAAGAUUAAGGAAAGCCACAUAGAAAGAGAAAAGAGGAUGAAGCAAAGAAGUAAAAUACAAUCAUCUUUUAUUUUCUGACAUUAGGUUCCUGGUAGAGUGAUCUUUGCCUUUUUCCAUCCCUCCAUUCAGUGCUGUUUUCACUUUUAUGUUUUAAGUCAACUUUUUUCUCCUACUUCUUCUGGUCUUGUUUUGCUCUCCUAACAUUGUCCUUCGGUCAGUAGGAGGCUGCAGAUGGACCACGUCUGUCUGUCUCCCAAUAUGUUAUGUCGUUACAGGGCUAUUUCCUUCCAGGAAUCAGAGUGGAUGAUGAUUGGAAUCCUGCUGUCUGCAGGGCAUCAGCUAGGGAAAAGGAGAGCUGGAAGUGUGAGAGAAUGACUGGACAGGAUCAGUGGGCUUAAGAAUAAUUAAGUCUCCCUUGGCAAAGUGCCAGAACCACAGGAAACAAACCAGAGGACCAGAGACACAGGAGCUGAUAAGAAUGGAGUACACUUUUCACAAGGAUGGCUGAUUAUUUUUAUAAUGUAUUUCUUAAAAUAAUUUUCCUCUUUUGGCUUUUAGACAAAGUUGUAGUUGCUGCCUCCAAGACUUAAAGUAGAAAUUCCACACUGCUCCACAGCUUUUUCCAAAUCCUGUAAGAAUGCAGAAUUGGUGCAUUUCCUAGAGUUUACCCAUGGUAUUCAUUUCAGAAGAGCUUUCUCUUUUCAGACUGAAAUCUGGACUGCAAAGAAGUAUGCACAUUGUUUCAUAUAUAUACACAUUUAUUUUUUCAUACGGAAAGAUAAAUAAUCAGAACAUGUUGAUCCCUUGAGAAGAUAAGGUUUUUGAGUAAAUAUUCAACUGUUAUAGCAUUAGAUGUGCUGAAACAACAUCAGUCGAAUAUAGCAGACCACCCGUGCUCACUUUUAGGGAGUUAAUAGCAGUGGAUAGGAACUUGUUUGAUAAGAAGGCUAUUCAUAGGGGCCAUCAGCAUCAGGCAGGACAUCUGACUGCUUCAUGGUCUGUACAGAGAAAGCCAUAAAUGUUUAGAAGUUUUGCUAUGCAAAUUAUUACAGAGAGAAGAAACUUCCUCAAUUUAUUUUCACCUAUCUUGAAAAUUUAAACCCUUUCUUUUCCACUGUGGAGCAAAAUCCUCCAUGAUCUACAUGAGCGGAUAACCAAGGAUCAACAGAAUAUCUCAGCCAUGAAACAUGACAGUCUUUGAAUGCAUCUCCAGGAAAUAUUUGCUUAGGGAAAAAAACCAACAGUUAACCUCAAGCAAGCAAAUCUCUCACAAGGAGGCAUUUUCAUUUCCCGUGUUCCCCAAGCACUGUGAUGUGAAGUCUUUGAAAUGACAGUAGCUGCAGAAGACAGGGGCUCAGGAAGAGAACAUGUCCCAGGGAUAUGCUGUGGCUCCAGCAGCUAUGAGGGAAGCAUCAGCUUAGAAAACAGCACCCAACACAGCACCUCUGCCACAAGGAUCAAAUGGAAGAAGGCAAAGCUGAUUCCCGAAAAGCCAGCCAUCUACAAUCAAUGCACUUAUCAGCAACUUGUGUCUUUUUCUUGUUAGACAGCUUCUGAAUCUAGACUGCCUCUUCAAAGUUCACCUUGCACAACAGCAUCUGAGUGGUCCGAUCCUAUUCCGUUCUAUGCUGUCUAGUGACAACAACAUUGAAGGGUUUAGGAACUGCAUUAAAAUACUCCCAGGUGAGAGGAGAAGCACUUUGCAGCCUCUAUCAGAAACAAAAACAGCUACAGAAAAUGUAAGGCAGAGCAAAACCAAGACCAGUAGAAUUGCUCAUGUAACCAUCUUAAUAAAAUUGGAUCUUCUGAAAUUACUUUGGAUUCUUUUGGAUGAAGUGAGAUAUGUUCAGGUAAAUGUGACUAUUAUGGAAUUUAUUUUUUUUUUCUGGAUGAUUCCAAAAUACUUUUGAUAGUGCAGUGGUAAAAAGUGAAUAAAUUCACUUGUUUGAUGCUCAGAGCUGAACAGUGGAAAAUACAUAAAUUCUAUAUUGUCCAGGUCAAGAGUUUAGAUAUAGUUUUCUUUUAAUUCAG
Molecule: long non-coding RNA, 7551 nt
Organism: Pipra filicauda (Wire-tailed manakin)
Lineage: Eukaryota; Metazoa; Chordata; Aves; Passeriformes; Pipridae
Exons: 4
Source: RefSeq, a predicted model, not a curated record